RNAcentral lists this ribosomal RNA (500 nucleotides) under uncultured bacterium. RNAcentral's name for it is "bacterial SSU rRNA". It matches the Rfam family "Bacterial small subunit ribosomal RNA", at positions 17 to 518 of the family's 1533-position model. The record is from RNAcentral.
CUAUGGCUCAGGAUGAACGCUGGCGGCGUGCCUAACACAUGCAAGUCGAGCGGAAAUACCAGAAAGUAUUCGUACCGGAAGGUAUUUAGCGGCGGACGGGUGAGUAACACGUGAGCAACCUGCCUUCAGCUGGGGAAUAACAUUGGGAAACCAGUGCUAAUACCGCAUAACGUCCAUGGGGGACAUCCCAUGUGGACCAAAGGAGAAAUCCGGCAGAAGAUGGGCUCGCGUCCGAUUAGUUAGUUGGCGGGUAACGGCCCACCAAGACCGCGAUCGGUAGCCGAACUGAGAGGUUGAUCGGCCACAUUGGGACUGAGACACGGCCCAGACUCCUACGGGAGGCAGCAGUGGGGAAUAUUGGGCAAUGGGGGAAAAACCCCUGACCCAGCAACGCCGCGUGAAGGACGAAGGCCUUCGGGUUGUAAACUUCUUUGAUCAGGGACGAAACAAAUGACGGUACCUGAAGAACAAGCCACGGCUAACUACGUGCCAGCAGCUGC